RNAcentral lists this ribosomal RNA (440 nucleotides) under uncultured bacterium. RNAcentral describes it as "partial 16S ribosomal RNA". It matches the Rfam family "Bacterial small subunit ribosomal RNA", at positions 338 to 795 of the family's 1533-position model. The record is from RNAcentral.
CCUACGGGUGGCAGCAGUGGGGGAUAUUGCACAAUGGGGGAAACCCUGAUGCAGCGACGCCGCGUGUGGGAAGACGGUCCUCUGGAUUGUAAACCACUUUCCCCAGGGACGAAGAUGACGGUACCUGGGGAUUAAGCUCCGGCUAACUACGUGCCAGCAGCCCCGGUAAUACGUAGGGAGCGAGCGUUUUCCGGAAUUACUGGGUGUAAGGGGAGCGUAGGCGGGAAUGCAAGGUGCGUGUAAAAACUGCCGUCUAAACUGGUAGUCGCCCUCAAAACUGCAGCUCUUGAGUGAAGUAGAGGCAGGCGGAAUUCCUAGUGUAGCGGUGAAAUGCGUAGAUAUUAGGCGGAACACCAGUGGCGAAGGCGGCCUGCUGGGCUUUUACUGACGCUGAGGCUCGAAAGUGUGGGGAGCAAACAGGAUUAGAUACCCGGGUAGUC